Molecule: ribosomal RNA, 119 nt
Filed under: Elusimicrobiota bacterium
Lineage: Bacteria; Pseudomonadati; Elusimicrobiota
Source: RNAcentral
ACCGGUGACUAUUCCGACAGGGAAACACCCGUUCCCAUUCCGAACACGGCAGUUAAGCCUGUCAGGGCCGAUGGUACUGACGCCCAACUCGGCGUUGGAAGAGUAGGUCGUUGCCGGGC